This 379-nucleotide ribosomal RNA is filed under the name uncultured cyanobacterium. RNAcentral describes it as "bacterial SSU rRNA". It matches the Rfam family "Bacterial small subunit ribosomal RNA", at positions 376 to 770 of the family's 1533-position model. The record is from RNAcentral. Lineage: Bacteria; Bacillati; Cyanobacteriota.
GGCAACCCUGACGGAGCAACGCCGCGUGGGGGAGGAAUGUCUGUGGAUUGUAAACCCCUUUUCUCAGGGAAGAAGCUCUGACGGUACCUGAGGAAUCAGCAUCGGCUAACUCCGUGCCAGCAGCCGCGGUAAUACGGAGGAGGCAAGCGUUAUCCGGAAUGAUUGGGCGUAAAGCGUCCGCAGGUGGCAAUGUAAGUCUGCUGUCAAAACCCAGGGCUCAACUCUGGUCAGGCAGUGGAAACUACAUAGCUAGAGUUCGGUAGGGGCAAAGGGAAUUCCCGGUGUAGCGGUGAAAUGCGUAGAGAUCGGGAAGAACAUCGGUGGCGAAAGCGCUUUGCUAGACCGAAACUGACACUCAGGGACGAAAGCUAGGGGAGCG